AAGACAGAUGACUGAUAUAUAUACUGUNAUAGAAAAAGAUAGAUUUGACCAAAUGAAAGCUUAAAGUAUAAAUAGAAAACAAAAAGGCAGACAACAAAUUUGGAAAAAAUCUUCAACAAUGUGACAAAUGAUUGACAUUUGGUAUAUGAAGUUUAUAAAUCAAUAAGAAAACAAUACAACAGAAAGGAAAUGGACAAGAGGCAUUGACCAAUCAAAUUUCAAGAGUAAAUGGCCAAAAAGUCUAGAGUAGGGGAGAAAGAAAAAUGUUUAGCCUUACUGUAAUCAGAUGACAAAUGGCCUUGAGCAAGAAGAGUGAUGCUGGGUACAUCACAAUACCUGAUCUCGAGUCACACUACAGAGCUAUGGGAAUAGCAUGGUAGUGACAUCAAAAUAGACACAAAGACCAAUGGAACAGAAUAGAAGACACAAAGACAACUCACAUGGAGUCAUCUGACAAAGUCAUUUGACAAAGAUGCCAGAAAUAUAUGUUAGAGAAAAUAUAAGCCCCAUCCUUUUCUUUUGUACUGGGGAUUAAAUCUAGAGGUGUUUAAACACUGAGCAACCUCCCCAGCCCUUUUAAAAUAUUUAGAGACAGGGUCACACUGAGUUACUUAGGGCCUUGCUAAAUUUCUAAGACUGGCUUUGAGCUGGCAAUCCUACUUCCUCAACCUCCCGAGCUGCUGGGAUUACAGGCAUGUACCACCCAGCCUGGCAAGAUAGCUUUUUUAAACAAAUGGUACUGGGGAUACUGGAUAUCCUCAUAUAGAAAAAUGAAACUAGAUCUCUAUUUCUCACCCUGCAUAAUAAUCACAUCAAAGUGGAUCAAGGACUUAGAAGUAAAAUCAGAAACUUUGCAACUGCUAGAAGAAAACAUAGGGUCAAUACUUCAACAUAUUGGUGCAGGCACCAACUUGCUUAACAAAACCGUGAAAUAUAAGACAUAAAACCAAGAACCAGUAAGUGAGACAUCAUCAAAUUAAAAAGCUUCUGCACAGGAGAGGAAAUGAUAAUGAGCAUGAAGAGAGAGGCUAAAAGAGAAAUUUUUGCCAGCUAUUCCUCUGACAGGGGACUAAUAUCUAGAAUAUAUAAAGAACUCAAAAAGUUUAACACCAAAAAAUCCUCAAAACAAAUAAAAACAAUAAUGAAAAUCCAACAACACAAUUGAUAAAUAGGCAAAAGAACUAAACAGACAUAUUUUUCUUUGUUCUUUUUAGAUACACAUGACAGUAGAGUGUAUUUUGACCUGUUAUACAUACAUAGAGUAUAACUUAUUCUAAUUAGGAUCCCAUUGUUGUGGUUGUACAUGAUGUGGAGCUAAACAGACAUUUCUGAAAAGCAGCACCAAAGACCAACAUAUACAUUAAAAAAUGUUCAAUAUCCCUAGCAAUCAGGGAAAUGUAAGUCAAAACUACAUUGAUUUCAUCUCACUCCAGUCAGAAUAGCAAUGACCAAGAAUAUGAACAACAAACGUGGGUGAGGUUGUGAGGAAAUAGGUAUGCUUGUACAUUGUGGGUGGGACUGUAGACUAGUACAACCACUCUGGAAAGCAGUAUGGAUAUUCCUCAAAGUAUCCAAGAAUGGAACCACCAUAUGACCCAGCAAUCCCACUUCUUGGUAUUUUCCCAAAAGAUCUAGAAUUGUCAUACUAUAGCAAUACAGGCAUCUACAUGUUUAUAGUGGCACAAUUCAUAAUAGCUAAAUUAUGGAAUAACCCAGAUGCCCAUCAAUAGAUGAAUGGAUUAAGAAUUUGUAUAUAUAUGUGUAUGUGUGUGU
RNAcentral lists this long non-coding RNA (1773 nucleotides) under Marmota monax (woodchuck). Lineage: Eukaryota; Metazoa; Chordata; Mammalia; Rodentia; Sciuridae. The record is from RNAcentral.